UAGGGAAGAGGCGGCAAUGGACGGAAGUCUGACCGAGCAACGCCGCGUGAGUGAAGAAGGUUUUCGGAUCGUAAAGCUCUGUUGUUAGAGAAGAACGUUGGUAGGAGUGGAAAAUCUACCAAGUGACGGUAACUAACCAGAAAGGGACGGCUAACUACGUGCCAGCAGCCGCGGUAAUACGUGGGUCCCGAGCGUUGUCCGGAUUUAUUGGGCGUAAAGCGAGCGCAGGCGGUUCUUUAAGUCUGAAGUUAAAGGCAGUGGCUUAACCAUUGUACGCUUUGGAAACUGGAGGACUUGAGUGCAGAAGGGGAGAGUGGAAUUCCAUGUGUAGCGGUGAAAUGCGUAGAUAUAUGGAGGAACACCGGUGGCGAAAGCGGCUCUCUGGUCUGUAACUGACGCUGAGGCUCGAAAGCGUGGGGAGCAAACAGG
RNAcentral lists this ribosomal RNA (429 nucleotides) under Bacillota bacterium. Its description in RNAcentral is "Firmicutes bacterium partial 16S ribosomal RNA". It matches the Rfam family "Bacterial small subunit ribosomal RNA", at positions 355 to 776 of the family's 1533-position model. The record is from RNAcentral. Lineage: Bacteria; Bacillati; Bacillota.